AUGACCAUAUUAUGGCAAAAACAGCUCAUAAGCAAAGAGAAACGACAGUCCAUUACUUUAAAGACAUGUCAGUCAAUACGGAAAAUUAAGAACUUUGAAAGUUUCUUCAAGUGCAGUCGUAAAACCAUCAAGCGCUAUGAUGAAACUGGCUCACGAGGACCGCCACAAGAAAGACCCAGAGCCUUUGGUUUAUGUCCCAGAUUUUUUUUAAUAAAAAAAUUUGGUAUGUUUUUUUAUUCAUUUUUAUCACAUGGACCUCAACCUUUGUAUUCCCUCAAACAAAAGAACAUUACAAAUGUGAUUUUCCGCUGCAGGAACCCCAAAGAGAAACCAGAUACCUGCAUUACCCCCUGGACCAAAACUAACCCUGACAACCUGCACAUCCCUAUUCCCUGUGAAGGGAGGCCUUCAAGAGACUGGAUCACUGAGUCACCUAGGUGAUCACUGAGAGAUGACACCUUUGCCUACAUUUACUACAGAGCCUGUAAAGGCUCCACCCCUCAGUUCAGAAGAUUGGUUCUAUGAUUAUGGAUUAUGAUGCUUAAGUAAAUUAGAGGCACAAAGAUCAUACCUCCCCUGUUAUUGGUAAUGGUGAGGUUAGCAUGUUUUGUUGUAGCCGCUAACUUUCUCACUCAUCAUUCAUGAUCGUUCUUUAUUAUCAGGACUAAUUUAGAAGUGUUCAGAAACAUCUUAUUUGCUCACUUAGAAAUAAUUAUUCCAGUCAUCAUUAACCAGUCAGUUCCUAUAAGGCAAAACAUAAUCUGAAACAACCAAGCUGUAAAUGUAUCCAACAAGUUUGCAGAGUCACAAGGCUGUAGUCACUGUGUGCUAGGAAUAUGGGACCAAAUAAUAAACGUGACAACUUUAAUACAUUAAGUGAAUUAUUUUCCAUUUCUAAAACGGUAAAACAUGAAAAAACCCUCAGAUAAAAGGUGACCGUCUGUACUGUCGCCUCAAACAUUUGAUCUCAAAUAAAAAACGCUGGAGUAUAGAGCUAACUAAAAGUUUGAAGAGACUGAAUGAGGAGAUUAAUGUAUGGAGAAAAUACCUGAAAUAAUAACUAUUUAGAUUAACCACCAAGUGAAGUCAAGCGCUGAUAACAUUGUAGAUGCUUGUUCAUAAACUCUCCCCUUCCUUCAUUCACGCUCCUCCGGUCCCUUUCAGACCCAGCUACUAUCAACCAUGUCAAUUAUGAUGAAUUUGAGAUUCCAGUGAGGUAAUUAACUUAUUGGUAGAUAAUAGACCAUCCCCAGCCAUUGUACAAAACAUUGAGUGUUACCCAGCAUGACGCCCUGACCUCUGUCCUCAGGGACUUGUAGUGAAGACUGGUGGUCCUUCCAGGGUAGUUGCUACCUGGCAUCAAAAAGGAAACUCAGCUGGAACAGUGCAAAGGAAAAUUGUAUCGAGCUGGGAGCACACCUGCUUGUUCUUAACUGUGAGGAUGAGCUGGUAAGACAGUUAGGGUCUGUGGGCUAUGUUAAAUGUGUGCUAGAGGUCCAUAUGAACAACACAAGCUUUGUAAUUAUGCCGACUGCACCCUGAAGUAGAUUUACAUCGGAGGCAAACAGGAAAUUAUGAACAGUAGACCCAUGUUUGCCAUGCGCUGUUAGCUAUGCCAGUGCUGCUUGAUAACAUGACAUUCUCAGGGUACAGAAGAAAGGAUGUAUUUCUUUCAGUGACUGUAUAUAAACAUCACAUUAUGGCAUGGGUUUGUACCAGACUGCUGAACAGAAGAAGCACACAGUGUUUAACAUAAGAUUAGUCAUAGAAUGUUUGAUUAAAGCUUGGUAUGUCAGAAUUUUUUUUUUUUUAAUUCAGGGAAUUGUGGGUGAAUAUGAAUAGCAAGGGAGAUUUGAAACCAACCAAUAACCAGAGGCACAUAUUGGAUCACGACAGUUAUUGAUUUCAAGAGAAGCACAUGCUAGUACAGAACUAACAGAACGCAGGGAGGUAGGCCACUGCGGGGGAAGAGAAGGCCAGGUAAAUGGCAUGGCAAGUUUAAGGGGGAAAUAAGAGUGAUUUCUCCAAUCUACAAGAUGCAGAUGAUGAGAACAUCCUAAAGAGGUUACUGUUGCAGAAUACAAGUUUUGACUGCAUACCUGUCCAGUGGAUUCACAGGUGUGCCCAAGCUGCCCUUCCCACAGUAGCAGCCAGUGUCAGCAUAGUCCAGCACAGGCCAGCUGUCAGGGUUGGCCCAAUCAUGAACUUCCAUAGUGCCCUUGAGAUGGGUUCAUGCACCGCCAGCCCUAAAGAGACACACACGAGGGGCCACAUACAGAGCGUUCAAAUAUCCACAUGACCAUUUUGAGACUGGUCACAUACUAGUAUUGCUUUACUAACUCUAAUGAAUAAGUUAAAUUUAACAGUAUAGCAGCAUGGUUGAAAUGGGAAGGUGACCCACAGUCUCAUUCUAGAAAACUGACCGUUUUGCCCUUGUGGCAUAAUGUAAGUACAUUUUACAUAACCAGCUGAAAUGAGGUACUGUAUAUGUACUGGGUAAAAUACCUUGCAGUGCACAUUGACUCAACUAAAAUAAUAUUUCCUCAGAAGAAACUAUGACAGGACAACUGGACAUGAAUUACAAGAAAACAUACUUUACACUGCUCUGUUACUGAAAAGCAUCAAGUCUGCAUCAAAGCCCUGUCUCAACAUACAGUAUACCUAAUAAUACUCAGACUGGCAGACAGAAGGCUAACAGCAGCAGUGUGAGAAGCCCUUAUUUUGGUGUUGAAGAGACUCAAUGAUCUAGCACACAAAUUAUUUAUAUAGACUCAUGGCCUUAAGGGGCGAGCUUUGGAUGAUUAACAGAGUGUGCCGGAUGCAAAGUACACAAUUGUACACAGGUUACUGCACAAACAGACACUAUCAUAAACACUUACAGACCUGUGUAUAGUGAUAAAGGUGCAUUGAAUCACAUUUUCAAUACUGGAUACGUUUUGUUUUAUUUAACAGGUCUAAGUCUCAUUGUGAUAAAAAUAUAUAUUUUUCAAGCGACAGGAUCAUAUGCAUAGAGACCGACUCAGUAAGUCAUUGUACAAGACUAGACUGGAGUCAUGAAAUGGAAAUGUCCAACCCUGUUCCUGGAGCGCUACCCUCAUGUAGGUUCACUCCAACCCUGUUCCUGGAGAGCUACCAUCCUGUAGGGUCACUCCAACCCUGUUCCUGGAGAGCUACCAUCCUGUAGGGUCACUCCAACCCUGUUCCUGGAGAGCUACCAUCCUGUAGGUUCACUCCAACCCUGUUCCUGGAGAGCUACCAUCCUGUAGGUUCACUCCAACCCUGUUCCUGGAGAGCUACCAUCCUGUAGGUUCACUCCAACCCUGUUCAUGGAGAGCUACCAUCCUGUAGGUUCACUCCAACCCUGUUCCUGGAGAGCUACCAUCCUGUAGGUUCACUCCAACCCUGUUCCUGGAGAGCUACCAUUCUGUAGGUUCACUCCAACCCUAAUCUAGCACACCUGAUUCUAAUAAUUAGCUGAACCAGGUUAAUUAAUCUCCAGGAACAAGGUUGGAAACACCUGCACUAGAGUAUAUUACACUAUACAUCCUUUGUCUUGAUCUGUACCACAUUCUGAUUGUACCCACAUACAUCUACACAUGAUAGUAAAACAUGUCGCUUAUGCAUCCACAUUGUGACCAGAUAUCCUGGUCCCUCCCUGUAUGUAAGUUAUUUGACAGAUAUUAUUUUAAAAGACACAUAUUGAUGCCAUAAGUCAAUGACAUUGCCCGCCAAUGAUUUGAGAGCAGGUGGUGAUGAUUUAAAUGGUUUAAAACUUUCACUGUUCCGAUCAGUCUAUAUUUGUAAGGUUUCAUCUACACCAGUGUGUCCCCAACACCAGUCCUCGAUUAACCCAAUAGCACACAUUUUUGCUGUAGCCCCGGACAAACUCAACGGUUACAAUUUUUUGUAUUUAUUAGCGAUCCCCAUCCUCACUACUCUUCCUGAGGUCCAAACACAUUAAGGCACUUACACAAAACAAGACAUAACAGUACAUCAUAUAAGAAUACACCACUAUAUAGCUACAACACAAAAUGUAUGAUACCACAAUAUUACAAUGUGUGUGUCUGUACCUGUGUGUCCUUUCACAGUCCCCGCUGUUCCAUAAGGUGUACUUUUAUGUUUAAAAUAAACAUAUAUUUUUACUGCUUGCAUCUGUAGCUGCUUGCUCCUGAUGUGGAAUAUAGUUCCACGUAGUUAUGGCUCUAUUUAAUGCUGUGCGCCUCCCACAAUCUGCUCUGGAUUUGGGGAGUGUGAAGAGACCGCUGGUGGCAUGUCUUGUGGGGUUGAUGAUAAAUUGAAUCCGAUGUGCUUGUCCGGGGCUACAUCUAAAAUGUGUACUGUUGGGCUACUCGAGGACUGGAGUUAGAAAACACUGGUCUACACAGGCACUAAUUGUUAUUUUGACCAAUCGGCACGGAAAAAGUUUUGAUGUGAUUGGUCAAAAUACCAAUUAGUGGAAAAAUAUCAGAAUUGGACUGUGUGUAAAUGCAGCCUACGCUAUUCAGACACAAUGCAUAUCUGACUACCUCCAGAGGUGGGCAGGAAGAUCUGAUCACAAUGCGUCUUCUAAUCAUCUACACCUGUCUAAAAAUAUGGGCACAAUCGGAAUGUGGACGUGAUCAGGACAAAGGACUGAUGUAGGAACCAGGUAUAAAUGGAGCUAUUGAUAGCAGCAAUCCUUGGUAAACCAGUUUAGCACCUGAGGAAAGUAUUUGAACCCUGAGAUG
RNAcentral lists this long non-coding RNA (4727 nucleotides) under Oncorhynchus kisutch (coho salmon). RNAcentral describes it as "lncRNA (ENSOKIG00005029853.1)". Lineage: Eukaryota; Metazoa; Chordata; Actinopteri; Salmoniformes; Salmonidae. The record is from RNAcentral.